This 471-nucleotide ribosomal RNA is filed under the name uncultured bacterium. RNAcentral describes it as "SSU rRNA". It matches the Rfam family "Bacterial small subunit ribosomal RNA", at positions 26 to 518 of the family's 1533-position model. The record is from RNAcentral.
AGAUUGAACGCUGGCGGCAUGCCUUACACAUGCAAGUCGAACGGCAGCACGGGAGCAAUCCUGGUGGCGAGUGGCGAACGGGUGAGUAAUACAUCGGAACGUGCCCAGUAGUGGGGGAUAACCCGGCGAAAGCCGGACUGAUACCGCAUACGACCUACGGGUGAAAGCAGGGGAUCGCAAGACCUUGCGCUAUUGGAGCGGCCGAUGUCAGAUUAGCUUGUUGGUGGGGUAAAAGCCCACCAAGGCGACGAUCUGUAGCUGGUCUGAGAGGACGACCAGCCACACUGGGACUGAGACACGGCCCAGACUCCUACGGGAGGCAGCAGUGGGGAAUUUUCCGCAAUGGGGAAACCCUGACGGAGCGACGCCGCGUGUGGGAAGAAGGCCUUCGGGUCGUAAACCACUGUCGAGGGGGACGAUAUUGACGGUACCCCUGGAGGAAGCCCCGGCUAACUACGUGCCAGCAGCCGC